RNAcentral lists this ribosomal RNA (402 nucleotides) under Verrucomicrobiota bacterium. RNAcentral describes it as "Verrucomicrobia bacterium partial 16S ribosomal RNA". It matches the Rfam family "Bacterial small subunit ribosomal RNA", at positions 355 to 776 of the family's 1533-position model. Lineage: Bacteria; Pseudomonadati; Verrucomicrobiota. The record is from RNAcentral.
UGGGGAAUUUUGCACAAUGGGGGAAACCCUGAUGCAGCGACGCCGCGUGAUUUAGAAGGCCUUCGGGUUGUAAAAAUCUUUUCUAUGGGAAGAAAAUGACAGUACCAUAGGAAUAAGGACCGGCUAAUUACGUGCCAGCAGCCGCGGUAAUACGUAAGGUCCGAGCGUUGUCCGGAAUCAUUGGGCGUAAAGGGUACGUAGGCGGGUAAGCAAGUUAGAAGUGAAAUCCUGUAGCUCAACUACAGUAAGCUUUUAAAACUGCUCAUCUUGAGAUAUGGAAGGGAAAGUGGAAUUCCUAGUGUAGCGGUGAAAUGCGCAGAUAUUAAAAAGAAUACCGGUGGCGAAGGCGACUUACUGGGCUCAUUCUGACGCUGAGGAACGAAAGCGUGGGUAGCAAACAGG